Long non-coding RNA from Cavia porcellus (domestic guinea pig), 1075 nucleotides. RefSeq lists it as uncharacterized. The transcript is spliced from 4 exons. NCBI's taxonomy places the organism in Eukaryota, Metazoa, Chordata, Mammalia, Rodentia, Caviidae. The record is from RefSeq and is a predicted model, not a curated record.
CCAUCAACCCAAACCCCAGUUUCUUUUAGUCCCCGGAAAAGAAACUGUCUCCAAGUGUCACUUUCUAUACAUGAGUGCUAGUUCCAACAAGAAGAAUGAGCUUGUCGCCACUUUAAAGGUAAAUAUCACUUCAAAAACUCUUGCAGGCAUUUCAUCGUGCAAGGCUUUCUAAAACCUAACUUGUGUUUGCUACGUGGAUCUUUCAGAAAAUUGUCACCUACAUUUCAUCCUAAAAUCUUAACCACGGGUGACACAGUUUCACCAAAGUUCCAUAAAGUUUUGGGGACCACCUUGAAGUGUCACCUGGACUGUGCAUCGUCUAUCUGUUCAUUUGUUAGAAUUUCUUGAGCUCCUUCUGCGUGUCCUGCAUAGUGGUCGGGCCUGGGGUUAAGCAAAUUGCCAGCUCUGUGAUCCUCAGCUGAGGGCCUGGGAGACAGGCUGAAAAUAAGUUCAUAUUCAGAGGCUGUGGUCACGCUGUGCAUUAGGAAGCCAACGCAAGCAGGACAGGUGCACUCUGAACGCUGGGGUGAGUUUCUUCAACUACGGAGGCCUCUGAGAGAGGGCACCGGGGUGUCCCCUGAAAAAGUCAGGACCGUCCUCCUUUGCCAGCAAGAAGGUAUAACUACCUCUUCUCUGCUGUUUGGACAUGGAUGUUCCCCUCUGUACUGCUUAGAGAGUUAGAGAAGUGUGAACAGCAUGGACAACCAUCCUAGUUUGACUAGGACUAUCCUGAUUUGAUCUCAAAAAGAUCCAUGUUCCAUCACAAUGUCUUGGAGAGCCCUAGUGCCUGGACAACUGGAAAGGAGAUAUUUUUCAGAGUUUGGACACGGAGAUAGAUAUACCCCGUUCCUUGGUGCUGGCAAUAUGAAUGCUGCCAUGACCAAAAUCUGACUAUAAAGAAACCUCUUUCUGACAUUUGAAUACUGACAGCUGACCUGGCCCUGCACCAGAACUAGCCGACCCCAGCAACAACAGAAGCUAAAACCAGUCUCAUGACUUGCUACUGCUAUCUGGGCCAACUUUUUCUGCUUGGAUAUCACCAGAAAAUCCCAUUAAAUCUUAACACAUCCUCCUG